This 1749-nucleotide long non-coding RNA is filed under the name Fragaria vesca (wild strawberry). Its description in RNAcentral is "long non-coding RNA (FVES_LNC003020)". The record is from RNAcentral. Lineage: Eukaryota; Viridiplantae; Streptophyta; Magnoliopsida; Rosales; Rosaceae.
ACUAAACAUGCAGAAGACUAGCUAGCUUAAUUGGUUUCUCAUAUAUGAUUUCUACCAAGUUAGAUUAGUAUCAAACUUGUGUUUCACUUUUACUUAUUGUUAUAUAUGCAUGACAUAUAACACAAGUCACAAGUCGUACAAGUCACAAAACGGAUACAGUUUUAAUGAAACUUAUUGUAGUGCCCUUAAUUACAUACUACAAUUUUGGCUGACGUUAACAGAAACUACUGAAGUAAACUAAGGUCGAUGACUACUGUAUUAACCACCAACGUUAGCUGUCUAGAGAGUGUAAAGCAUAUAGUAAUUACCCUACUUACCACAAUGACUGAUCUUAAUUAGUAGAACUUUCAAAGCUUUCUUCAAUUCUAAGUAGAGGAUGAUAUCUGUACGUUGAGCAAUAAAUUGGAUUACUUCAUCUCAACGUAAAAGAUCAAUUAAUUCAUGUAUCAAGAAUACAAUAAUACACAGGAACUACGUUUGGCUAAGUAGCUAAACUUUUCCUCAUCUCUUCAACGCUCUUGUUCAACAACCCAGAGAAGAAGUCCCAACUGCUUAUCCUACACCCAACCCAAUUCUAACCUGCGCACCUAGCUAGCAGCAUUCCCUUCAAACUCCAGCCGGAGUUGGUGGUUUAACGGAGUAGGAGUGCAACAAGAUUGAUGCGACACCUCAUGGAGGUUGGUGGUCCAGCCGGAGUUGGUGGUCCAGCCGGAGUUGGUGGUUCGACGGGUUGGAUAACCGGUGUGCCGAGGAAGCUUGGGUUUCGCCGGAUCUUGCUUUGGACUCCGAUCUAGUUAUCUGUUGGGUGAGGGGUUUGAAGUGGUGGCAAGGCGGUACUCCUACAGCGGUGGUGGUUUGGCAGUGUAGUCCCACGCUGGUGGUGGAAGCCGGAUCUCUAAGGUGCUGCUCGCCCGUGCCGACGGUGGUCGUCGGCUCUCAAAAGGUUGACUGAGAUCUCGUCGUCGAGUUGAGAGAGAGAGAGAGAGAGAGAGAGAGAGAGAGAGAGAGAGAGAGAGAGAGAGUUGAGCUGUGAUGUGCAUAAUUUGUAAUUUGUUUUUAAUUAAAAGGAUAGUAUAUGAACAAUUGUUUUAGUGAGACUUUUUUAUCAUGAUUGAACAAUUAGUGACCUUUUUAUCAUUUUAUAUCUUCAAAAGUACUAUUUUAUCAUUGGCUCUAAAAUAAAAUCUAACGCACCAAAUUUAGGAAAAUAAAAUAAAGUUAAAAAAGCCUCUGUUUAAAAUAAUAAUAAUAACAAUAAUAAUAAAGCUUGAGAAGUAGUCGUAGUCAAUAUACCACGAUAAAAUCGAAAAUUUCCUUAUACGUACUGUUAAAUCGAUAUCUCACAGUGUCGAUUUCUCACUUUUCUCCGAGGGAAAUAGAACAUGGGUUGCUUAACGCACAAUGUCGUCAUGUAAAGGAAGUCCCGUUUGUAAUAAAUGAUGGGAUGCCCUUUUCUAGAAAUUAGAUACUACAUCUUCAGUGGUCCUCAUAUUCUGCCUCUCCUUAGUUUUUUUAUUUUCUUUCUUAAAAUAUGUGGUCCUACUCCUACUUUGAUUGUCCAUAUAUUUUUGUCGAGGAUGGGGAUGUGAUAGGAGGUCCCCGUACCCCUCUUUCCCAUGUUUUUCUUUCUUUCUUUAUUUUUUCUUUUUCCAAACACUAAAUUAGGAAAGAUCAUCCAAUUGUCCAUUUCCAUUUCGUAUAGUGUUGUAGUCUCUCAUUUAUAAGCAGGAGGUCAUAAGUUUGACUCAU